UGAAUUGCAGAAUUCAGUGAAUCAUCGAAUCUUUGAACGCAAAUGGCGCUUUUGGGUUCUCCCAGGAGCAUGUCUGUCUGAGUGUCU
RNAcentral lists this ribosomal RNA (87 nucleotides) under Pocillopora damicornis (cauliflower coral). RNAcentral describes it as "partial 5.8S ribosomal RNA". It matches the Rfam family "5.8S ribosomal RNA", at positions 68 to 154 of the family's 154-position model. From Rfam's summary of the family: 5.8S ribosomal RNA (5.8S rRNA) is a component of the large subunit of the eukaryotic ribosome. It is transcribed by RNA polymerase I as part of the 45S precursor that also contains 18S and 28S rRNA. Lineage: Eukaryota; Metazoa; Cnidaria; Anthozoa; Scleractinia; Pocilloporidae. The record is from RNAcentral.